RNAcentral lists this unclassified non-coding RNA (154 nucleotides) under uncultured Capnodiales. RNAcentral describes it as "sequence contains ITS2". Lineage: Eukaryota; Fungi; Ascomycota; Dothideomycetes; Capnodiales. The record is from RNAcentral.
CUCCCCUCAAAGCAAGGAUUUUGUUAAGAAAUCUGGCUGGUGUUGGGCUUUGCCUUUAGGCAUGCCUUAAAAUUAGCGAUGAUCCCUUAAACCACGAACGCACAAAUGUUGUUCGGCUGUUAGAAGUGGAUCAGUCAACUGAUGAAAUUCUGAA